CCUACGGGAGGCAGCAGUGAGGAAUAUUGGUCAAUGGGCGCUAGCCUGAACCAGCCAAGUCGCGUGAAGGAUGACUGCCCUAUGGGUUGUAAACUUCUUUUAUAUGGGAAUAAAGUGCAUUAUGUAUACUGCUUUGCAUGUACCUUAUGAAUAAGGAUCGGCUAACUCCGUGCCAGCAGCCGCGGUAAUACGGAGGAUCCGAGCGUUAUCCGAAUUUAUUGGGGUUAAAGGGAGCGUAGGGGGGUUGUUAAGUUAGUUGUGAAAGUUUGAGGCUCAACCGUAAAAUUGCAGUUGAUACUGGCAUCCUUGAGUACAGUAGAGGUAGGCGGAAUUCGUGGUGUAGCGGUGAAAUGCUUAGAGAUCACGAAGAACCCCGAGUGCGAAGGCAGCCUGCUGGACUGUAACUGACGCUGAGGCUCGAAAGGGUGGGUAUCAAACAGGAUUAGAUACCCUGGUAGUC
This 460-nucleotide ribosomal RNA is filed under the name uncultured bacterium. RNAcentral's name for it is "partial 16S ribosomal RNA". It matches the Rfam family "Bacterial small subunit ribosomal RNA", at positions 338 to 795 of the family's 1533-position model. The record is from RNAcentral.